RNAcentral lists this ribosomal RNA (253 nucleotides) under uncultured bacterium. Its description in RNAcentral is "partial 16S ribosomal RNA". It matches the Rfam family "Bacterial small subunit ribosomal RNA", at positions 524 to 776 of the family's 1533-position model. The record is from RNAcentral.
UACGUAGGGUGCAAGCGUUGUCCGGAAUUAUUGGGCGUAAAGAGCUCGUAGGCGGUCUGUCGCGUCUGCUGUGAAAACUCGGGGCUUAACCCCGAGCCUGCUUCUGAUACGGGCAGACUAGAGGUAUGCAGGGGAGAACGGAAUUCCUGGUGUAGCGGUGAAAUGCGCAGAUAUCAGGAGGAACACCGGUGGCGAAGGCGGUUCUCUGGGCAUUACCUGACGCUGAGGAGCGAAAGUGUGGGGAGCGAACAGG